Molecule: ribosomal RNA, 581 nt
Filed under: uncultured organism
Description: bacterial SSU rRNA
Rfam family: Bacterial small subunit ribosomal RNA
Source: RNAcentral
ACGAACGCUUACGGCAGGCCUAACACAUGCAAGUCGAACGCACCUUCGGGAUGAGUGGCAGACGGGUGAGUAACGCGUGGGAACCUGCCCUGUGGUACGGAAUAACUCUGGGAAACCGGAGCGAAGAGCGUAUAAGCCCUACGGGGGAAAGAUUUAUCGCCAUAGGAUGGGCCCGCGUCAGAUUAGCUAGUUGGUAGGGUAAUGGCCUACCAAUGCUACGAUCUGUAGCUGGUCUGAGAGGAUGAUCAGCCACACUGGGACUGAGACACGGCCCAGACUCCUACGGGAGGCAGCAGUGGGGAAUCUUGGACAAUGGGCGAAAGCCUGAUCCAGCCAUGCCGCGUGAGUGAAGAAGGCCCUAGGGUUGUAAAGCUCUUUCAGCGGGGAAGAUAAUGACGGUACCCGCAGAAGAAGCCCCGGCUAACUUCGUGCCAGCAGCCGCGGUAAUACGAAGGGGGCUAGCGUUGUUCGGAAUUACUGGGCGUAAAGCGCGCGUAGGCUGACUGGUCAGUCAGGGGUGACAUACCGGGGCUUAACCUCGGAACUGCCUUUGAUACUGCCAGGUCUAGAGUCCGGCAAAG